RNAcentral lists this ribosomal RNA (500 nucleotides) under uncultured bacterium. Its description in RNAcentral is "partial 16S ribosomal RNA". It matches the Rfam family "Bacterial small subunit ribosomal RNA", at positions 30 to 523 of the family's 1533-position model. The record is from RNAcentral.
AUUGAACGCUGGCGGCAGGCCUAGCACAUGCAAGUCGAGCGGUAGAGAGAAGCUUGCUUCUCUUGAGAGCGGCGGACGGGUGAGUAAUGCCUAGGAAUCUGCCUGGUAGUGGGGGAUAACGUUCGGAAACGGACGCUAAUACCGCAUACGUCCUACGGGAGAAAGCAGGGGACCUUCGGGCCUUGCGCUAUCAGAUGAGCCUAGGUCGGAUUAGCUAGUUGGUGAGGUAAUGGCUCACCAAGGCGACGAUCCGUAACUGGUCUGAGAGGAUGAUCAGUCACACUGGAACUGAGACACGGUCCAGACUCCUACGGGAGGCAGCAGUGGGGAAUAUUGGACAAUGGGCGAAAGCCUGAUCCAGCCAUGCCGCGUGUGUGAAGAAGGUCUUCGGAUUGUAAAGCACUUUAAGUUGGGAGGAAGGGUUGUAGAUUAAUACUCUGCAAUUUUGACGUUACCGACAGAAUAAGCACCGGCUAACUCUGUGCCAGCAGCCGCCGUAA